RNAcentral lists this unclassified non-coding RNA (218 nucleotides) under Basidiomycota sp. RNAcentral describes it as "partial contains small subunit ribosomal RNA, internal transcribed spacer 1, and 5.8S ribosomal RNA". The stretch from base 1 to 47 matches the Rfam family "Eukaryotic small subunit ribosomal RNA", at positions 1785 to 1831 of the family's 1831-position model. The record is from RNAcentral. Lineage: Eukaryota; Fungi; Basidiomycota.
AAAGUCGUAACAAGGUUUCCGUAGGUGAACCUGCGGAAGGAUCAUUAAUGAAAUGCAAGGACGCUCUUUUUAGAGGUCCGACCAACUCAUUUACCUUUACACUGUGCACAUACUACUUUUUUACACCAAUUUUUUAACGCAUUAGUUUAAGAAUGUAAAAUCAGUCUCGAAAGAGCAUAAAAUAAAUAAAACUUUCAGCAACGGAUCUCUUGGCUCUC